RNAcentral lists this long non-coding RNA (207 nucleotides) under Brassica napus (rape). Its description in RNAcentral is "long non-coding RNA (BNAP_LNC003198)". Lineage: Eukaryota; Viridiplantae; Streptophyta; Magnoliopsida; Brassicales; Brassicaceae. The record is from RNAcentral.
CACAUUCUCCUCAUACAAACAUAUGAUUUCAUAUUUUGCGUCGAUAGCCCGGACGUCUCUAGACCACCGCACUCAUCAUCCACCAUGCGCUGAUAUGGAAACAUCUUUGCACCCGUAAUCACCACAUAACUGCACUGGUAGCUGAGACAUCUCUGGACCUCCGCAAUCAUCACAUCUGUGUCGCUCGCUCAAACAUCUAUGGCCCCC